Molecule: long non-coding RNA, 326 nt
Filed under: Vitis vinifera (wine grape)
Lineage: Eukaryota; Viridiplantae; Streptophyta; Magnoliopsida; Vitales; Vitaceae
Description: long non-coding RNA (VVIN_LNC006982)
Source: RNAcentral
AAAACUCAUAGCACUCACCUUUGAAAAUGGGAAUUGCUGGUUGAGACACACUCACCAUACUGCCGUUGGUUGUUGCCAUUAUUCGCCCAGUUCAGAAGGAACCUGGCUGCUCUGAUACCAAAAAUUGUUGGACAAAAAACAAGGCAAAACAAUAGCAAGGAAAAAAUAGAGCUCUUUAACUCUAAAAAACAGAGCUUCACCAGACCAAAGAAAAUGCUUCUGGAUAUUUUAUUGCAGUCAUUAAUUCCACUACAGCAAACAUGUCUAUUUAUAAAAAAACAAAGAGGACACAAUCUGCCCCACUACACCACUAAUACUUGACCCAC